UACAGAGGGGGCUAGCGUUAUUCGGAAUUCUUGGGCGUAAAGGGCGCGUAGGCGGCCAUGCGUGUCUUCCGUGAAAUCCCUCGGCUUAACUGAGGACGUGCGGAAGAAACUGCAAGGCUCGAGUCCGGGAGAGGGGGGUGGAAUUCCCAGUGUAGCGGUGAAAUGCGUAGAUAUUGGGAGGAACACCGGUGGCGAAGGCGGCCCCCUGGACCGGAACUGACGCUGAGGCGCGAAAGCGUGGGUAGCAAACGGG
Molecule: ribosomal RNA, 253 nt
Filed under: uncultured bacterium
Lineage: Bacteria
Description: partial 16S ribosomal RNA
Rfam family: Bacterial small subunit ribosomal RNA
Source: RNAcentral